Molecule: long non-coding RNA, 1121 nt
Filed under: Dromaius novaehollandiae (emu)
Lineage: Eukaryota; Metazoa; Chordata; Aves; Casuariiformes; Dromaiidae
Description: lncRNA (ENSDNVG00000010422.1)
Source: RNAcentral
CUGCAGUUACUGAGAAAGAGGUUAUAUUAAAAUGCUUUAUACUUCAUGUGCAUUGUUCUGUUCCCCCCACAACACACUGAAAUAGCGAUUGUUGGCCAUGGUCUUUCUACCCAUAUCAAGGAAUAGCAUUUAACUGAUGCAGUGCAAGGGCCUUGUCAUUAACCUUCAGCUCUUAAGGGCCAUUUAUUCUAUUAAAACAAGCCUGCCUUUUGAAAGCAAUUCUGCAUAAUGCUCCUAGGAAAUACGUGUGUUGGGAAUAGGAGCACCAACAUUAAAAAAAAAAAAAAAAAAAAAAAAAAAAAGAAGCAUUGUUCAAUAUUGGACUAACCUAUAAAUUGCCUCUCCAACAUCUGUAAUACAAAACCUUUUGCAAGUCUGAGCUGUGCAGAUCUCAAAUUCCAGCCUUCUAUAGCUGGAGGGAAUUACUACAGAACUAACACUCCAUAGUUUCCAAUGGCACUAUAUUGAAAUUUAACAAAAUCUAAAAGACUAACCCACUAUGAAUUUGAAAUGUUUUCAAGUGGCUGAUUCUUUGAGAGCUUAACAUGUAAAACUUGAGCUGUUGAAGGUCAUCUGAGCUGUAAAGUCUCCAUCUCAAAGUAUCUCUGCAUUCCAAUUCAAAAUGCAAGCAGCUGAACAAAGUAACUCAAAUUUGGUAUUUCCUCUCUCAAUGAGAGAAGUGUCUUGGAAAGUUCUAAGUGUUUGAAAUUGCUCCAUUGCUACCGAAUCUGAGUUUUGCUACAGGCUUUAGUACUUGGGGGAUGAUAUUAGCUACUGUAUGAACUUUUUUUCUGGAGAUAAAGUUUUGGCUUUGAGUCAAACUGGAGUGUAUAAUUCUCUGAAUUGGAGCCACUUUAAUUCUUACAGCCUGCUGAAGGAAAAGAAGAAAACCGUGGCUCACCUGUGAAACCUGAGACCUGGAGAGAGCAAUUUAUAAUUGAUUUUAACUGCCAAAUUACUCUUAUAAAAUAAUGUUUCUCACAGUGAGAUGAAUCACUUUCGUUUGAAAAGCUACACAUUUCAACGUAAAUAUAUACUUUGCUUAGUAAGUAUUGAAUAACUGGCUGUCUAGACAGGAUUCCAAUCCAUUGUCUUAGAGGUCUCUUACUGUUUCUUUGUUC